AUGUGCUAGUACUAUAUCUUUUUUCAUUACCACCGCAAAUGCAUUGUGGUAAAUUCCCCCUGUCGGUGGGCAUGAGUAAACGGCAGUACUUUUCAGAUGAAUAUAAAAUCAGUACAACACAAUAUAUAUUCAACAAUCAUAAGGGAGAGGAGAAGUUUUAAGUCUCAAGUACUAUCUUUAUUUCUUAAUGGUGUAACUCCAAUAGAGGCAUUUAUGACCGCGCACGAGGAUGCUUUCUAUACUUUGUCCAAUUACAUCUCAAGAAAGUGGGAUAGUUGAGUGAUUGGCAACGGUCAAGACUUAUACAGUUUACAGUUUCAAAGCACAUAACAAAAAAUAUAUGCAGUUCUACGCAGCUAGUGACUUUACACUGGUGCACUUCCUCUCCAAUCGAGCUCUAAUCACGUAAUUUCCCUCACAGUUUAUUCGCAUACUAAUUGCAAUAGUAUACACACUUCAUUUUUUCCCGACAAAACAAAAA
Lycium ferocissimum is the source of this 481-nucleotide long non-coding RNA. RefSeq lists it as uncharacterized. The record is from RefSeq and is a predicted model, not a curated record. NCBI's taxonomy places the organism in Eukaryota, Viridiplantae, Streptophyta, Magnoliopsida, Solanales, Solanaceae. The transcript is spliced from 2 exons.